RNAcentral lists this ribosomal RNA (97 nucleotides) under Bison bison bison. The record is from RNAcentral. Lineage: Eukaryota; Metazoa; Chordata; Mammalia; Artiodactyla; Bovidae.
UCAGCCUGAAGGCGCCCGAUCUCGUCUGAUCUCGGAAGCUAAGCAGGGUCGGGCCUGGUUAGGAUCUUGGAUGGGAGACCACCUGGGAAUCCCGGGU